CUCCCGGUUGAUCCUGCCGGACCCGACUGCUAUCAGAGUGGGACUAAGCCAUGCGAGUCGACGUAGCAAUGCGUGGCGAACGGCUCAGUAACACGUAGUCAACAUGCCCAGGGGACGUGGAUAACCUCGGGAAACUGAGAAUAAACCACGAUAGGUCACGAUUUCUGGAAUGGAUCAUGGCCUAAAUCUACAUGGCCCCUGGAUUGGACUGCGGCCGAUCAGGCUGUUGGUGAGGUAAUGGCCCACCAAACCUAUAACCGGUACGGGCUCUGAGAGGAGAAGCCCGGAGAUGGGCACUGAGACAAGGGCCCAGGCCCUAUGGGGCGCAGCAGGCGCGAAACCUCUGCAAUAGGCGAAAGCCUGACAGGGUUACUCUGAGCGAUUUCCGCUAAGGGGAUCUUUUGGCACCUCUAAAAAUGGUGUAGAAUAAGGGGCGGGCAAGUCUGGUGUCAGCCGCCGCGGUAAUACCAGCACCCCGAGUGGUCGGGACGAUUAUUGGGCCUAAAGCAUCCGUAGCCGGUUCCGCAAGUCUUCCGUUAAAUCCAGCCGCUCAACGGAUGGGCCGCGGAGGAUACUACAGGACUAGGAGGCGGGAGAGGCAAGCGGUACUCAGUGGGUAGGGGUAAAAUCCUUUGAUCCAUUGAAGACCACCAGUGGCGAAGGCGGCUUGCCAGAACGCGCUCGACGGUGAGGGAUGAAAGCUGGGGGAGCAAACCGGAUUAGAUACCCGGGUAGUCCCAGCUGUAAACGAUGCAGACUCGGUGAUGGGCUAGCCUUGUGCCAGCCCAGUGCCGCAGGGAAGCCGUUAAGUCUGCAGCCUGGGCAGUACGGUCGCAAGACUGAAACUUAAAGGAAAAGGCGGGGGAGCA
RNAcentral lists this ribosomal RNA (869 nucleotides) under uncultured archaeon. Its description in RNAcentral is "bacterial SSU rRNA". It matches the Rfam family "Archaeal small subunit ribosomal RNA", at positions 1 to 878 of the family's 1478-position model. The record is from RNAcentral.